GACGAACGCUGGCGGCGUGCUUAACACAUGCAAGUCGAGCGGUAAGGCCCUUUCGGGGGUACACGAGCGGCGAACGGGUGAGUAACACGUGGGUGACCUGCCCUCAGCUCUGGGAUAAGCCUGGGAAACCGGGUCUAAUACCGGAUAUGACUCCAUGACGCAUGUUGUGGGGUGGAAAGCCUUGUGCGGCUGAGGAUGGGCCCGCGGCCUAUCAGCUUGUUGGUGGGGUGAUGGCCUACCAAGGCGACGACGGGUAGCCGGCCUGAGAGGGCGACCGGCCACACUGGGACUGAGACACGGCCCAGACUCCUACGGGAGGCAGCAGUGGGGAAUCUUGCGCAAUGGGACGAAAGCCUGACGCAGCGACGCCGCGU
This 374-nucleotide ribosomal RNA is filed under the name uncultured bacterium. Its description in RNAcentral is "bacterial SSU rRNA". It matches the Rfam family "Bacterial small subunit ribosomal RNA", at positions 28 to 402 of the family's 1533-position model. The record is from RNAcentral.